CAAGUCGAGCGAGUGGAGUUCUUCGGAACAAAGCUAGCGGCGGACGGCUGAGUAACACGUGGGCAACCUGCCUCAUAGAGGGGAAUAGCCUCCCGAAAGGGAGAUUAAUACCGCAUAAGAUUGUAGCUUCGCAUGAAGUAGCAAUUAAAGGAGCAAUCCGCUAUGAGAUGGGCCCGCGGCGCGUUAGCUAGUUGGUGAGGUAACGGCUCACCAAGGCGACGAUGCGUAGCCGACCUGAGAGGGUGAUCGGCCACAUUGGGACUGAGACACGGCCCAGACUCCUACGGGAGGCAGCAGUGGGGAAUAUUGCACAAUGGGGGAAACCCUGAUGCAGCAAUGGCGCGUGAGUGAUGACGGCCUUCGGGUUGUAAAGCUCUGUCUUCGGGGACGAUAAUGACGGUACCCGAGGAGGAAGCCACGGCUAACUACGUGCCAGCAGCCGCGGUAAUACGUAGGUGGCAAGCGUUGUCCGGAUUUACUGGGCGUAAAGGGAGCGUAGGCGGAUUUUUAAGUGAGAUGUGAAAUACCCGGGCUUAACUUGGGUGCUGCAUUUCANACUGGAAGUCUAGAGUGCAGGAGA
RNAcentral lists this ribosomal RNA (580 nucleotides) under uncultured bacterium. RNAcentral's name for it is "bacterial SSU rRNA". It matches the Rfam family "Bacterial small subunit ribosomal RNA", at positions 58 to 655 of the family's 1533-position model. The record is from RNAcentral.